Molecule: long non-coding RNA, 1908 nt
Filed under: Homo sapiens (human)
Lineage: Eukaryota; Metazoa; Chordata; Mammalia; Primates; Hominidae
Description: HSALNT0330846
Source: RNAcentral
GCAGGCGCAGGCGCAGACGUGGCUCCACAUAAAUUUUUCCUUGGGCUGGUUUCCUGCAUGUCUUUUAAGUAUUUGCUUUUAGUUUCCGUGUUUUGGUGUUUUGUUUGUUCGUUUUUUUUUUUUUUUUGUUUUUACGACAAUGCCUUCUAGGGGAACAGUGUCGCUGGGCUGGGCGGUGGAGAGACACCUUUGGCACCAUCGUGCGAUCUCAUGCACCCUACCAGUGAUCAACCCUUUGAGUCUGGCUUAGCUCAGGCAGAAAUUGUAGUCUGCAAAAGAAACUGAGAAGAAGAGGGCAAGGAGAGUGUGGCAUCCCAAGACAUAAAGACUCAAAUCAAUGAGAGCAAGCAACUCUGUCAAAUUUCACCAGAAGUGAGGACUAAAUAUUGACUACCGAAUUUUGCAAGGUCCUUGUAAUAAAUGAUGAGAUGGAUUGACAACUGGAAUUAUCCCUAUUAUGGGUUGAAUGAUGCACUCCCAAAAGCUAUACUGAAGUCCUAAUCCUCAAUAUCUCAGAAUGAGAAGUUACUUGGAAAUAGAGUGGUUGCAGAUGUAAUUAGUCAAGAUGAGGUUACACUGGAGUAAGGUGAACCCUUAAUUCAAUAUGAGUGGCGCCCUUUUAAGAAGAGGACACAGAGACACACAGGAGAAUGCCAUGUGAUGACAGACAGAGCUUGGCAUGAUGCAGCUACAAGCCAAGGAACACGAAGGGUUGACAGCCAACACUAAAAGCUAGGAAGAGGCAAGGAAGGAUUCUUCUCUACAGAUUUUAGAGGGAGCAUGGCCCUCUUGACACUUUUGUAUUGGACUUCCAUCUUCUAAAACUGAAAGAAUGAAUUUCUAUCGUUUUAAGCCACCUAGUUGGUAGUAUAUUGUUCUGGAUGCCUCAGAAAACUAAUAAAAUCCCCUAUUUCUGGUCAGUAUGCUGAGGUUUGAAAAAGUUUAAUUGGCAAAUGUUAAUUGCCAAGAGCCUACUAUGUGCUGGGUGGUCUUCUAGGCCUUGGGUAUUCAGUUCUAAACCAAACAAAGUUAAAAUUGUACUCCGGGGCACAUGGCUUUUUAGAGACAAGUAAUAUGAAACCCCAGUCUCUAGGCUUCCAGAUCAGCAUUUCAGUUUUGGUUUAUUUCAAUUAUGUCCUCUCUAAGUAAGGAGUGACUCUAAUAUUGACAGUGCUUAUACUGACCAUGAAUGUGCCUGAGUCACAGACAUCUCAGUGAACUCCUUACUAAUGAACUUAUAUUUCCCCACAGAUACCUUACAUGUAUCAUUACAGCCUUUCUAGGCCUAAGAAUGGACACCCUUUCUCUUUUCCUUGACCCAGAAUUUGGGUUACAAAUAAUCCAAUGGGAGAGCAGCUAUUGAUGAUGGGGCAUUUCGGAACAGAGGGAGGAAAAGGGGAAUUCCAGAUUGCUACAAGAUUUCUAAUUGUGGGAUGGGUAUUUAAAGCCCUGUGAAAGGUUGGAAGUCACUGGCUAAGGAACUUCUGCAGAAUAGUCUCUUUGGAGCACCUGAACUUACUCUUCCAGGUAUGGGGAAGAACAGAUAAGGGCAGAGUGUGACCUGACUGCACCCCUCCACUACCCUGUCCCCUGAAAAACUACAGAGAUCAAAAUUUGGCCCCUCAGUUCCCUGGCGAUAAGGGCUAAAGGACUUGGUUCUUUCAUCACUUAAGGUAAAGAAAAAGUAAAAUAAGUGUGUACAGGAACCCUACUCCAUAAAUAAAACCAUCUAUAACAAUAGCCUUGAAAGACUUAUUUCAAGACCUUCUCCCUCCCUCCCACCUUGACAUUUUAAUGGGGCCGGCAGUUUGAGCUUCAUUGUAAUGGAAACCAGAAGACAAUCUUCAAAAGUGAAAGGCUACAAUGGAGGUCCCAGCAGCCUUUGUGUCUGAAUUUAUCAGCUUUGUC